Molecule: microRNA precursor, 57 nt
Filed under: Schistosoma curassoni
Lineage: Eukaryota; Metazoa; Platyhelminthes; Trematoda; Strigeidida; Schistosomatidae
Description: mir-3492 microRNA precursor family
Rfam family: mir-3492 microRNA precursor family
Source: Rfam by way of RNAcentral
AGCCUUCUGUAUUCAUGCUGAGAUUUCGUCACACACCAGACCACAAGGGCUGAUGAA